Quercus lobata is the source of this 475-nucleotide long non-coding RNA. RefSeq lists it as uncharacterized. The record is from RefSeq and is a predicted model, not a curated record. The transcript has 3 exons. Lineage: Eukaryota; Viridiplantae; Streptophyta; Magnoliopsida; Fagales; Fagaceae.
UCAUUAGGCUAUAUAUUUGCCACCAUCAGUUUGUCAGAACCAUACAACAAAUAGCAAAAACAAUCCCUUUCACUCCAUAUUCAGAAGGAACAGAUUGAAUUUUUCUGGAACUUCGGCGAAGAGAGAAAUAUCAGUUUCCCCACCACCGUCCAUUUCCUUGCCACAUUUGGACCGCCAGAUUGUCGGAACUAACACUGUGCACAUCCCGUACAAUCAAAAGGCUUGCUAUAUGGAGAAAGAGACAGAAAUCGCUGCUCCGUUUGCUGGUCCGUUCAUUUCUGCUACCAUCCUUUCUCUUCAACGGUGUAUUCAAAAGAUUAAAGUGUAGUUGGGAAUAUAGAACCUUUGGGUCACUUUGUAAGGUGCAAGGUAGAGCAUGGAAGUUGUAGGCGACUUCAGUAUGGAUUAAAUACUUAUAGAAUUUUAGUUAUCUUUAUUCUGUAAUUCAUGUUUUUUGUUAUAGUGGAGAUUAUUU